AAUUGAUUGAUGUGCCUAAUCAAUGCCUAGUCAGAUUAUACUGGAACCGUCUUAUCGUCUGAAUACCUUUUCAAAUAUCCUUUUGACAAUUCAGUUUUAGGAAAGCUUGUUCUUUCGUAAACCAGUACUUCUGCUUUUCUUUACUUUCCUUCCAUUUCUUUGUUUACCCUCCGGUUUCAAUCUGGUUCUCGUCUAUCCAUCCUUUGUUGAACUUCAGCAUACUCUGGAACCCCCAUUUCCAUGUAAGUCUCUUCCUCUCGUUUUAAAGUUUCUGUAGCUAUGAUAUGUGCAAGGGCGUUUGCAGAUCUUAAUGUGUGUUUGAAAAUGAAGCUGCUAGAUCUGCUAAGGCUCUGUUUAAUAUCGUGUAUAUAUGCUCUUAUAUGAGAUCGAUCUUGACUUUUGGUUGCGUAUUUUUUUAUUAUCGUGAGGGAGUCGCCAUCGAUUAUCAUCUUCUGCCAUUGUAGUUCUACCCCUACUUGGACCGCUUUCCUACACGCUAUUGCUUCAGUUGCAAAAGCAGAAAAUACCCCGUGAUGGAUCUCUGAGCAGGAAAAUAGGACAAGCCCUUCUUCAUUUCUGACCACAACCCCUGAGGCAGAUUUAUGAUAGCCCACAGUCCACAACAGAAGAUGCACCUCUGGUACGGGGAGAACUGCUCAAAAAUCCAGGUAAUCCACUGUAAAAAGUCUAUGUUAGGAUUCAAGAAGGCAUUCUGAAUUUUUAGUAGUGUCCAUACUUCCACCAUGACAGGACAUUCACAAAAAACAUGGUCGACUGUGUCAGCUCUUUCACCACACCGAGGGUAAUUUGUAUUACUGACAAUCUUAUGGUGCUGCAUAUUAGCCCUCGUCGGCAGAUAAUUCCAUGAGAUUCUACAUAUUGUAACCUUAAUUUUUUUUGGUAGAUUUAGGAGCGAGAGUUUUUUUGUAGAAAUUCGUAUAGCCGAUUUGUAAAGCGUAAGCUCUAGGAAUUUCCUCCAAAGUUUGUAAUAGUUUAUAGGCGCUGCGGACCGAAAACUCACCUGAAUACUUUCCUCCCCAGACCAAGAGAUCAUCGUGAGGUGUGCGUGCUAAAGGAAUACGGAGGAUUUUCCUAGCAUCAUCUGUUGAAAAGAUAUUGUUUAUGAGAUCUCUCUUCCAUAUUCUCUCA
Molecule: long non-coding RNA, 1149 nt
Organism: Gossypium arboreum
Lineage: Eukaryota; Viridiplantae; Streptophyta; Magnoliopsida; Malvales; Malvaceae
Exons: 2
Source: RefSeq, a predicted model, not a curated record